This 253-nucleotide ribosomal RNA is filed under the name uncultured bacterium. RNAcentral describes it as "partial 16S ribosomal RNA". It matches the Rfam family "Bacterial small subunit ribosomal RNA", at positions 524 to 776 of the family's 1533-position model. The record is from RNAcentral.
UACGAAGGAUUCGAGCGUUAUCCGGAUUUAUUGGGUUUAAAGGGUGCGUAGGUGGACUAAUAAGUCAGUGGUGAAAGCCCGGAGCUCAACUCCGGAACUGCCAUUGAUACUGUUAGUCUUGAGUACAGUUGAGGUGGGCGGAAUGUGUCAUGUAGCGGUGAAAUGCUUAGAUAUGACACAGAACACCGAUUGCGAAGGCAGCUCACUAAGCUGUAACUGACGCUGAGGCACGAAAGCGUGGGGAUCAAACAGG